RNAcentral lists this ribosomal RNA (365 nucleotides) under uncultured bacterium. RNAcentral describes it as "bacterial SSU rRNA". It matches the Rfam family "Bacterial small subunit ribosomal RNA", at positions 547 to 916 of the family's 1533-position model. The record is from RNAcentral.
GAUUCUGGGCGUAAGCGCACGCAGGCGGUCUGUCAAGUCGGAUGUGAAAUCCCCGGGCUCAACCUGGGAACUGCAUUCGAAACUGGCAGGCUGGAGUCUUGUAGAGGGGGGUAGAAUUCCAGGUGUAGCGGUGAAAUGCGUAGAGAUCUGGAGGAAUACCGGUGGCGAAGGCGGCCCCCUGGACAAAGACUGACGCUCAGGUGCGAAAGCGUGGGGAGCAAACAGGAUUAGAUACCCUGGUAGUCCACGCUGUAAACGAUGUCGACUUGGAGGUUGUUCCCUUGAGGAGUGGCUUCCGGAGCUAACGCGUUAAGUCGACCGCCUGGGGAGUACGGCCGCAAGGUUAAAACUCAAGAAAUUGACGG